Perognathus longimembris pacificus (Pacific pocket mouse) is the source of this 298-nucleotide long non-coding RNA. RefSeq lists it as uncharacterized. Lineage: Eukaryota; Metazoa; Chordata; Mammalia; Rodentia; Heteromyidae. The transcript has 3 exons. The record is from RefSeq and is a predicted model, not a curated record.
UAACUAGAGAUAAGAGUCUCACAGACUUUCCUGCCUUGGCUUGUCUUUGAACUGUGAUCCUCAGAUCUCAGCCUCCUAAGUAGCUAGGAUUACAGGUGUGAGCCACUGGCACUUGGCUAGAUCUGAUGACUUCUGACACAGCUUUACCCUUGAACACCUGCCCAGAGCACAGUCUUAAAGUAGAAAGUCAACUGUCUCCAACUCGGAGAAGCAAAGGUCCAGAGACAAACCAAUGUCACUGUGAUUGGAGACUGAGUGAGCCCUUCCCGGGGGAGAGAUUCCCUCAGAAUGAUCUCUG